Molecule: ribosomal RNA, 229 nt
Filed under: uncultured bacterium
Lineage: Bacteria
Description: partial 16S ribosomal RNA
Rfam family: Bacterial small subunit ribosomal RNA
Source: RNAcentral
CGCGUAGGCGGUCUUGUCGGUCAGAUGUGAAAGCCCGGGGCUCAACCCUGGAAGUGCAUUUGAAACAGCAAGACUUGAAUACUAGAGAGGAGAGCGGAAUUCCUGGUGUAGAGGUGAAAUUCGUAGAUAUCAGGAGGAACACCGAUGGCGAAGGCAGCUCUCUGGACAGAUAUUGACGCUGAGGCGCGAAGGUGUGGGUAGCGAACAGGAUUAGAUACCCUGGUAGUCC